GGUGCCUGUAAAGGAAACCAGGAAAAGGCCUCUGACACCAGGAGAGGAACCUGAAGGGAGCAAGAGAGCUGCCUGCGAGUAGCAAACAAGAAGGAGCAGCGAUGGGCAGCAGAAACGAAGCAGCAGAAGACGAUCAGCAGCGUCCAGCAAAGAAGAGGAAAGAUAAUGAGAAUUAGCAUCAGACGUAGCAGCAGCAGAGAGCAAGCGCUGGCCGGUGUCUCAGCCUGCAGCAGCUGCGGAGAGGAGGGGCUGGAAUACACGGAACUCACCCGUCCUCUCUGCAGCCGAGGGGUGCGAGUGUCUGAACUUGAAUUUGUCUCCCGCUCAUGUCAGCCCUCUGCUGUGUCAGCGUAACAACAACACCUGCAUGCCUGGUAUAGAGCCAUGCUCAUUGUACCUACGUUGGUGCAGUAUUACUGUAGACACUGUGUUACUUGUAUAGAUCCUAACAGUCCUCUGGCAGCUGCCCCCCAUGGCCUGACACUGACUGUGGCAUCAGGGGUAACUGCAGGACCCGACCACGUCACCACAGGCAACAGUCAAACUUUCACAAUGUCGCAUACACAAUGUCGCAUACACAAUGUCACACAUACACAAUGUUGCAUACACAAUGUCACACAUACACAAUGCCAUAGUUGGUCUGAAUUUAGCUUAAAUGUUUUUUACUCUUUAUAAGUUCUGCUCUUUUGAUGAACGGUUCGGGGGGUGUUUGGUUUUUUUUCCCCAAAAAUAUUUGUUUAUAAGUGGACUGUGUGUUUUUGUACCAAUAUAAAACUUCGCUAU
Molecule: non-coding RNA, 783 nt
Organism: Pelodiscus sinensis (Chinese soft-shelled turtle)
Lineage: Eukaryota; Metazoa; Chordata; Testudines; Trionychidae
Source: RefSeq, a predicted model, not a curated record